This 433-nucleotide ribosomal RNA is filed under the name uncultured bacterium. RNAcentral describes it as "partial 16S ribosomal RNA". It matches the Rfam family "Bacterial small subunit ribosomal RNA", at positions 29 to 507 of the family's 1533-position model. The record is from RNAcentral.
AACGAACGCUGGCGGCACGCCUAACACAUGCAAGUCGAACGAGACCUUCGGGUCUAGUGGCGCACGGGUGCGUAACGCGUGGGAACCUGCCCUUAGGUUCGGAAUAACUCCCCGAAAGGGGUGCUAAUACCGGAUAAUGUCUUCGGACCAAAGAUUUAUCGCCUUUGGAUGGGCCCGCGUUGGAUUAGCUAGUUGGUAGGGUAAAAGCCUACCAAGGCGACGAUCCAUAGCUGGUCUGAGAGGAUGAUCAGCCACACUGGGACUGAGACACGGCCCAGACUCCUACGGGAGGCAGCAGCGGGGAAUAUUGGACAAUGGGCGAAAGCCUGAUCCAGCAAUGCCGCGUGAGUGAUGAAGGCCUUAGGGUUGUAAAGCUCUUUUACCCGGGAUGAUAAUGACAGUACCGGGAGAAUAAGCUCCGGCUAACUCCGUG